RNAcentral lists this ribosomal RNA (445 nucleotides) under uncultured soil bacterium. RNAcentral describes it as "bacterial SSU rRNA". It matches the Rfam family "Bacterial small subunit ribosomal RNA", at positions 26 to 505 of the family's 1533-position model. The record is from RNAcentral.
AGAACGAACGCUGGCGGCAGGCCUAACACAUGCAAGUCGAACGAGAAGCCACCUUCGGGUGGUGGAAAGUGGCAGACGGGUGAGUAACGCGUGGGAACGUACCCUUUGGUUCGGAACAACUCCGGGAAACUGGAGCUAAAACCGGAUAAGCCCUACGGGGGAAAGAUUUAUCGCCGAAGGAUCGGCCCGCGUCGGAUUAGCUAGUUGGUGAGGUAACGGCUCACCAAGGCUACGAUCCGUAGCUGGUCUGAGAGGAUGAUCAGCCACACUGGGACUGAGACACGGCCCAGACUCCUACGGGAGGCAGCAGUGGGGAAUAUUGGACAAUGGGCGCAAGCCUGAUCCAGCCACGCCGCGUGAGUGAUGAAGGCCUUAGGGUUGUAAACGCUCUUUCGUCCGAGGACGUAUAAUGACGGUACUGGAUAAGACGCCCCGCUUAACUCGU